UGAGAGCUGGUGAACAUAUAGCACAAAUGAAUUUGAAUCAUUAGAAGGAACCAAGAAUUCCGCCCUCAA
This 69-nucleotide transfer RNA is filed under the name Lamprotula coreana. RNAcentral's name for it is "tRNA-Gln". The record is from RNAcentral. Lineage: Eukaryota; Metazoa; Mollusca; Bivalvia; Unionida; Unionidae.